UAUGGCUCAGGAUGAACGCUAGCGACAGGCUUAACACAUGCAAGUCGAGGGGCAGCAUAAAAGUAGCAAUACUUGGUGGCGACCGGCGCACGGGUGAGUAACGCGUAUGCAACCUACCUAUCAGAGGGGAAUAACCCGGCGAAAGUCGGACUAAUACCGCAUAAAACAGGGGCACCGCAUGGUGAUAUUUGUUAAAGAGAUUCGCUGAUAGAUGGGCAUGCGUUCCAUUAGGUAGUUGGUGAGGUAACGGCUCACCAAGCCGACGAUGGAUAGGGGAACUGAGAGGUUGGUCCCCCACACUGGUACUGAGACACGGACCAGACUCCUACGGGAGGCAGCAGUGAGGAAUAUUGGUCAAUGGGCGGGAGCCUGAACCAGCCAAGUCGCGUGGAAAAGGAAGAAGGAUCUAUGGUUACGUAAACUUCUUUUGCAGGGGAAUAAAGUGCAGGACGUGUCCUGUUUUGUAUGUACCCUGAGAAUAAGGAUCGGCUAACUCCGUGCCAGCAGCCGC
This 511-nucleotide ribosomal RNA is filed under the name uncultured bacterium. Its description in RNAcentral is "bacterial SSU rRNA". It matches the Rfam family "Bacterial small subunit ribosomal RNA", at positions 18 to 518 of the family's 1533-position model. The record is from RNAcentral.